RNAcentral lists this long non-coding RNA (518 nucleotides) under Helianthus annuus (common sunflower). The record is from RNAcentral. Lineage: Eukaryota; Viridiplantae; Streptophyta; Magnoliopsida; Asterales; Asteraceae.
UGAAAACACUCGUACAUAACUUGAAUCACUUAGAAGUCUUCAAACACUUGAAAAAAAAUCUUUUGUGUGUAUGUGUAUAAGUGGCCGUAGGGUGAGAGAGAUGAGAGGAUUGCAUUGUUUUUUUGUUCUCUUGAAAUGUAGGAAUAGAUGGAUGAUGAGGUUUAUUUGUAUAUAUAAAAUAUCCAUAAUUGAAUGAAGUCAUGACAAAAUAUUCAAGUAUGGAACAAAUCAAAUCCAACAUCACAAGAUGAUGGGGUUGUUCGGCAGUAGGGGGACUAGGGUAGGGUGUGGUGUAAUGAUUUUGAUGGUAAGGUGAUGAUGAUUGAAUUUGAGUGUGGGUUUAGGUUUAGUUGGGUGUAUAAAAUACCCGCUUAAUUAUACCUACUAGUUACUCGUUUUUUAAAAAUUGAAAAGAAAACCAUAAUAAAAUAAUAUGAAUGAGUCUGGUGUAUAAUGUUGGUGCAGUCAUCUGUCGUCUUCGUCUUAAUAUCGAAUCUGAUCGGGCAUGACAUCACAAG